UACGAAGGGGGCUAGCGUUGCUCGGAAUGACUGGGCGUAAAGGGCGCGUAGGCGGUUUGGACAGUCAGAUGUGAAAUUCCUGGGCUCAACCUGGGGGCUGCAUUUGAUACGUUCGGACUAGAGUGGGGAAGAGGGUCGUGGAAUUCCCAGUGUAGAGGUGAAAUUCGUAGAUAUUGGGAAGAGCACCGGUGGCGAAGGCGGCGACCUGGUCCGAUACUGACGCUGAGGCGCGAAAGCGUGGGGAGCAAACAGG
This 253-nucleotide ribosomal RNA is filed under the name uncultured bacterium. Its description in RNAcentral is "partial 16S ribosomal RNA". It matches the Rfam family "Bacterial small subunit ribosomal RNA", at positions 524 to 776 of the family's 1533-position model. The record is from RNAcentral.